AUAUCUCUCUGUACGGGAAGGAUGAGAAGCUUCGACUAAGGUUCGAUUCGAGCGCAGCGAGAAAGCGUUGCCAACGGCA
Molecule: small RNA, 79 nt
Filed under: Salmonella enterica
Lineage: Bacteria; Pseudomonadati; Pseudomonadota; Gammaproteobacteria; Enterobacterales; Enterobacteriaceae
Description: partial RtT sRNA
Rfam family: RtT RNA
About the family: This family represents a bacterial cis-regulatory element known as RtT RNA. The exact function of RtT is unknown although it is thought that it may be involved in changing the cellular response in relation to amino acid starvation.
Source: RNAcentral